UAACAUUUUACAUCCAGUUGGAACAAAAUGAAAAGAAGUCCUUUAGAAAAGCAGGUCCAUAAUGCUACAAUUUCAAAAUUAGCAUACAUCACAAGCCAUGACAGUAAAACGGCAACGCCAACAUGGAAAAGCCAAGCUUUAACACAAGAACAACGUGGAAGCCAAAACGCAAUACAACAAUAAGUUACAAGCUAGCGCAAGCCAACAUAAGCGCUACUACAAAGUGAAGCUAAGCCAAGUGAAUGACGGCUCAAAAAACAGCAGUGCAAGCUGCUACGACGCCGUAAAACAAGCUUCCAAACGCGGAGAAUUCAAGCCUAAAGCUGCAGCGAAAAUAGAAAAUUAAAAGCGCCAAGAUGAAGAGCUACUAAACUCAGCUACCACAGCAAACACAAAACUCCAAGCCGGUAACAAACGCAUCACACAACAACGGUGGAAACGGCAAUAAGCUAGCAUUGGAUUAUGAAGUAAACGACAACAGAAAAAUCAAAUCACUCUAUAAAUUCUUCUUCCCGCUCUCAAAUAGUUUUCUUCCAGAUUCUUCCUCUCUUCCAAUCCUUCAACCACCUUCACCAAACUCCAAUCUCCAUAACCGUAAUCCCCGCCUUCAACCAAAACCUUCAAUCAAACCUUCAUCUCAUCACACUCAAACUCCUCUUUCUUCUUCAACCUCCCUGUAGCCGACGCCGACUCCUUAAAUCUUCACCUUCAACAACCACCUCCAAACUCUAACAACUUCACAAUCCCAAUCUUCCACUCCAUCGCAACUAUACCUCAACCGCUUCAACCACCGCGAUUCCCUCCAACCACGACCACACACAACCAUUCACAGAAAUGACGAACUCACCACAAUCGCCUACAUAAUAACAACGCAAUUUCGAAAUCUCAGAAGGUGAAGAAGAAGCUCAUAACAGCAAGAGUAAGCGGCAUUGAAGCAAAACCGAAGUUGAACGAAACUGAAGAAAUUGAGAAGAAGAGAAGCAAGAGGAGGAGAAGAAUCGAGAACUUGAAUCGGAGCCGCCACGGUCGUCUUCUCCCGUUCGCCGUCGCCACCGGCUCUUUCGUCGUCUCCGACAGGUAGGUUGCUGAUCUCCUUUUAUUUCCUUCCAUUUCGAAACUUCUCGCCGUGAUGAUCGUCGUCGCCGACCGGCGCGGCUAGGAUCUCCAUUGAGAUCUGGUGUUCUUCUCUCUUCCUCUUGUGAGCUGGUGAGCGUGAGAAGUGAGGAAGAUGAUGACUAUCCUUAAGCCCCUAAGUUCGCACCCCCUGUGUUUGGGCCAAUUCCAAUGGUCCAGGGCCCAUUUUGCAUUUUUUUGGAGUCUUUUUUUGUUGUGAUAAUUGUUAGAAUAUUAGGAUUAACUUUAGAUAAAUUUAGGAUUAGAUUGUUAAUCAAUUUGUGAAUAUUGCUUAGUUGAAUAUUUUGAAUGGUUUAGUUGAAUAUUUUAGAAUAAUAGUCUUGAUUGUUAAUUUUAGGUUUAAUUUUGAUAAUUGAUUUAGAAUGUCACUUUGAUAAUCGUUUUAAUUUUAGAAUUAAUUUUGAUUAAUUUCUAG
This 1549-nucleotide long non-coding RNA is filed under the name Lathyrus oleraceus (garden pea). RNAcentral's name for it is "Pisum sativum (pea) long non-coding RNA (PSAT_LNC033883)". Lineage: Eukaryota; Viridiplantae; Streptophyta; Magnoliopsida; Fabales; Fabaceae. The record is from RNAcentral.